RNAcentral lists this ribosomal RNA (433 nucleotides) under uncultured bacterium. RNAcentral's name for it is "partial 16S ribosomal RNA". It matches the Rfam family "Bacterial small subunit ribosomal RNA", at positions 29 to 508 of the family's 1533-position model. The record is from RNAcentral.
AACGAACGCUGGCGGCAGGCCUAACACAUGCAAGUCGAGCGGACCCUUCGGGGUUAGCGGCGGACGGGUGAGUAACGCGUGGGAAUAUGCCCUUCUCUACGGAAUAGUCCUGGGAAACUGGGGGUAAUACCGUAUACGCCCUUUGGGGGAAAGAUUUAUCGGGGAAGGAUUAGCCCGCGUUGGAUUAGGUAGUUGGUGGGGUAAUGGCCUACCAAGCCGACGAUCCAUAGCUGGUUUGAGAGGAUGAUCAGCCACACUGGGACUGAGACACGGCCCAGACCCCUCCGGGAGGCAGCAGUGGGGAAUCUUAAAAAAGGGGGGCAACCUUGAUGUAGCCUGGCGGGGGGAGUGAUGAGGGCUUGGGGGUAGAAAGGUUCUUUAAGCUGGGAAGAUAAGGACGGUACCAGAAGAAGAAGCCCCGGCUACCCCGGGC